GACGAACGCUGGCGGCGUGCCUAAUACAUGCAAGUAGAACGCUGAAGAGAGGAGCUUGCUCUUCUUGGAUGAGUUGCGAACGGGUGAGUAACGCGUAGGUAACCUGCCUUGUAGCGGGGGAUAACUAUUGGAAACGAUAGCUAAUACCGCAUAACAAUAGGUGACACAUGUCAUUUAUUUGAAAGGGGCAAUUGCUCCACUACAAGAUGGACCUGCGUUGUAUUAGCUAGUAGGUGAGGUAACGGCUCACCUAGGCGACGAUACAUAGCCGACCUGAGAGGGUGAUCGGCCACACUGGGACUGAGACACGGCCCAGACUCCUACGGGAGGCAGCAGUAGGGAAUCUUCGGCAAUGGGGGCAACCCUGACCGAGCAACGCCGCGUGAGUGAAGAAGGUUUUCGGAUCGUAAAGCUCUGUUGUAAGUCAAGAACGAGUGUGAGAGUGGAAAGUUCACACUGUGACGGUAGCUGACCAGAAAGGGACGGCUAACUACGUG
This 497-nucleotide ribosomal RNA is filed under the name uncultured bacterium. RNAcentral's name for it is "partial 16S ribosomal RNA". It matches the Rfam family "Bacterial small subunit ribosomal RNA", at positions 28 to 507 of the family's 1533-position model. The record is from RNAcentral.